ACCAGACUCCUACGGGAGGCAGCAGUGGGGAAUAUUGCACAAUGGGGGAAACCCUGAUGCAGCGACGCCGCGUGAGUGAAGAAGUAUUUCGGUAUGUAAAGCUCUAUCAGCAGGAACGAGACAAGACGGUACCUGACUAAGAAGCCCCGGCUAACUACGUGCCAGCAGCCGCGGUAAUACGUAGGGGGCAAGCGUUAUCCGGAAUCACUGGGUGUAAAGGGAGCGUAGACGGCUGAGCAAGCCUGAAGUGAAAGGCGGGGGCCCAACCCCCGGACUGCUUUGGGAACUGUACGGCUGGAGUGCAGGAGAGGGAAGUGGAAUUCCUAGUGUAGCGGUGAAAUGCGUAGAUAUUAGGAGGAACACCAGUGGCGAAGGCGGCUUACUGGACUGUAACUGACGUUGAGGCUCGAAAGCGUGGGGAGCAAACAGGAUUAGAUACCCGAGUAUUG
This 449-nucleotide ribosomal RNA is filed under the name uncultured bacterium. Its description in RNAcentral is "bacterial SSU rRNA". It matches the Rfam family "Bacterial small subunit ribosomal RNA", at positions 330 to 793 of the family's 1533-position model. The record is from RNAcentral.